RNAcentral lists this ribosomal RNA (427 nucleotides) under uncultured prokaryote. RNAcentral describes it as "bacterial SSU rRNA". It matches the Rfam family "Bacterial small subunit ribosomal RNA", at positions 355 to 774 of the family's 1533-position model. The record is from RNAcentral.
UAAGGAAUAUUGCUCAAUGGGCGAAAGCCUGACCGAGCAACGCCGCGUGAAUGAUGAAGGCCUUCGGGUUGUAAAAUUCUGUUAUAAGGGAAGAAUGGCUCUAGUAGGAAAUGGCUAGAGUGUGACGGUACCUUAUGAGAAAGCCACGGCUAAUUACGUGCCAGCAGCCGCGGUAAUACGUAGGUGGCGAGCGUUAUCCGGAAUUAUUGGGCGUAAAGAGCGCGCAGGUGGUUGAUUAAGUCUGAUGUGAAAGCCCACGGCUUAACCGUGGAGGGUCAUUGGAAACUGGUCAACUUGAGUGCAGAAGAGGGAAGUGGAAUUCCAUGUGUAGCGGUGAAAUGCGUAGAGAUAUGGAGGAACACCAGUGGCGAAGGCGGCUUCCUGGUCUGUAACUGACACUGAGGCGCGAAAGCGUGGGGAGCAAACA